GCGAAAGUGGCGGAAUUGGUAGACGCACUGGAUUUAGGUUCCAGCGCCGUAAGGUGUGGGGGUUCGAGUCCCCCCUUUCGCACCA
RNAcentral lists this transfer RNA (85 nucleotides) under Burkholderiales bacterium. RNAcentral's name for it is "tRNA-Leu". It matches the Rfam family "tRNA". Rfam says of the family: Transfer RNA (tRNA) molecules are approximately 80 nucleotides in length. Their secondary structure includes four short double-helical elements and three loops (D, anti-codon, and T loops). Lineage: Bacteria; Pseudomonadati; Pseudomonadota; Betaproteobacteria; Burkholderiales. The record is from RNAcentral. RNAcentral also lists the same sequence under 4 other names.